RNAcentral lists this ribosomal RNA (238 nucleotides) under uncultured bacterium. RNAcentral describes it as "partial 16S ribosomal RNA". It matches the Rfam family "Bacterial small subunit ribosomal RNA", at positions 521 to 758 of the family's 1533-position model. The record is from RNAcentral.
UAAUACGUAGGGGGCAAGCGUUGUCCGGAAUCAUUGGGCGUAAAGCGCGCGUAGGCGGCCCGGUAAGUCCGCUGUAAAAGUCAAAGGCUCAACCUUUGAAUGCCGGUGGAUACUGUCGGGCUAGAGUCCGGAAGAGGCGAGUGGAAUUCCUGGUGUAGCGGUGGAAUGCGCAGAUAUCAGGAGGAACACCAAUAGCGAAGGCAGCUCGCUGGGACGGUACUGACGCUAAGGCGCGAAA